Molecule: ribosomal RNA, 979 nt
Filed under: Funneliformis caledonium
Lineage: Eukaryota; Fungi; Glomeromycota; Glomeromycetes; Glomerales; Glomeraceae
Description: eukaryotic LSU rRNA
Rfam family: Eukaryotic large subunit ribosomal RNA (bases 184-979)
Source: RNAcentral
CGCAUUGGAUUUGAGGCGUCUUUUAUAUGUUAAUUCAUGUCAAAGUGGCUUAAAAUUUACCACUCUGGUACGAUUUAAAGAGUAUUUAAGAUCAACCUUGAUUAAGAACGCGCGAUGACGUACCAUCUCAUGUAGUACGUUCGACCUGCUUGUCAGGCUCAUUCGUAUACGACACUCAACUUUUGAGCUCAAAUCAGGUAAGAAUACCCGCUGAACUUAAGCAUAUCAAUAAGCGGAGGAAAAGAAAAUAACAAUGAUUCCCUCAGUAACGGCGAGCGAAGAGGGAUAAGCUCAAAUUUUAAAUCUGUUGGGUUUCACCUAACAGAGUUGUAUUUUGAAGAAACGUUUUCUGCGUCCAGGAUUAGCCUAAAUCCUUUGGGAUAAGGUAUCAUGGAGGGUGAGAAUCCCGUUCAUGGUUAAUCUUAAGGAUGCUCUACGAUACGUUCUCCAAGAGUCGAGUUGUUUGGGAUUGCAGCUCAAAAUGGGAGGUAAAUUUCUCCUAAGGCUAAAUAUUGGCGAGAGACCGAUAGCGAACAAGUACCGUGAGGGAAAGAUGAAAAGAACUUUGAAAAGAGAGUUAAACAGUACGUGAAAUUGUUGAAAGGGAAACGAUUGAAGUCAGUCAUACCAACGGGAAAUCAACCUCUUGAGUUUGGUCUCGUGGGUUUCGAAGAGUUUAAAAGCCUUCGGAUUUUCGAGAUUGGGUUCUUCUGGUGUACUUUCUCGUACGGUUAGUCAACAUCGGUUUUGAAUGUCAUAAAAUGACUGGAGGAAUGUGGCUUGGAUCUCGUAUUCAAGUGUUAUAGCCUUUGGUAGAUGUGAUGUUCGAGACCGAGGAUUGUGCAAUGGAUACCCUUCUGGGCUAUUCGUCUGAUCUCUGAAACGUUGCCUUGAUGUCGAAAGCUUGCUUAUGAUGUUAGGGUAUUACGGUCAAAAGGUUAGAACGGAUUAAAUUCGUUAAGGAUGUUGACGUAAUGAC